Molecule: transfer RNA, 73 nt
Filed under: Myotis davidii
Lineage: Eukaryota; Metazoa; Chordata; Mammalia; Chiroptera; Vespertilionidae
Rfam family: tRNA
About the family: Transfer RNA (tRNA) molecules are approximately 80 nucleotides in length. Their secondary structure includes four short double-helical elements and three loops (D, anti-codon, and T loops). Further hydrogen bonds mediate the characteristic L-shaped molecular structure. tRNAs have two regions of fundamental functional importance: the anti-codon, which is responsible for specific mRNA codon recognition, and the 3' end, to which the tRNAs corresponding amino acid is attached (by aminoacyl-tRNA synthetases). tRNAs cope with the degeneracy of the genetic code in two manners: having more than one tRNA (with a specific anti-codon) for a particular amino acid; and 'wobble' base-pairing, i.e. permitting non-standard base-pairing at the 3rd anti-codon position.
Source: Rfam by way of RNAcentral
GCUGGUGUGGCUCAGUGGCUAGAGCAUCGGCCUGCGGACUGAAGGAUCCCGGGUUCGAUUCCGGUCCCUGGCA